Long non-coding RNA from Cyprinus carpio (common carp), 685 nucleotides. RefSeq lists it as uncharacterized. The transcript is spliced from 3 exons. NCBI's taxonomy places the organism in Eukaryota, Metazoa, Chordata, Actinopteri, Cypriniformes, Cyprinidae. The record is from RefSeq and is a predicted model, not a curated record.
CAUCUGCAUAAACAGCUUUUAAGAGUCAUCAAAGACUACGGCAUCUUUACUGUUGCCAUAUUCUGCUUCCUCUUGUUUUUUUGCUUAUACUGCUAAAAGAGCUUGCCACGAUAUAAUACCUGUUAUAUUGGUUAUCAGGGACAAUACCAGCAGAGAUGGGAGUCAAAUAUGUUCAAGUCAAAACCAAGUCCUUACCAUCAAAUCUUGAUUCAACUCUCAAGUCACAAUGCACACAAAUGUUGGUUCCUGCUAAGGAUCAAGUCAAGUUUCACAAUACAGUACCAAGUUAUAAAACGUGGCCACAAGACCUGGGUUUAUGACACUUCUGAGUUUAUGUUACAUUAUACCCAUAUUAUAUCUUAUAUGCUUACAGUCUUGAACAUAAAUGUUUGUUACAUUAUUCAUACACUAGUAAAUAAGAGUCUUUAUAGAAAUAAAACAAUGCUUUUUAUGUAUAGUGGCAAUCAAGGUUGUUCCUUCAUUUUAAAUGGACAGCAAUAUGCAACUUGACAAAUGUUUUCCAGUUUGGGGUAUAUAAAUGGUAAACAUUUAAAGAGCUAUAAAUGUUUCACAACUUUCUCUGUAAACUAGUUAUAUAAACUGUAUUGUCAGUGCACUAAAAAUUAUCUUUUGCAUUUGCUCUUUAAAGUUAUGGAGGCUUGUAGGAAAAUAUUACUUAGAUUUC